Non-coding RNA from Macaca mulatta (Rhesus monkey), 496 nucleotides. The record is from RefSeq and is a predicted model, not a curated record. Lineage: Eukaryota; Metazoa; Chordata; Mammalia; Primates; Cercopithecidae.
CAGGCGGCAGAGGAGGGACCGGCCGGAGGGGGUGCCCAGCUUCCUACCCGCUAGAUGUGGACUGGGGAGCUGCGGUUUGUUCUUGUGAAUACAGAUUCCCAGGCACCGCCUGACUCGCGGAUCCAUGGGUGUCUCGAGCGGCCUCGUUGUGAGCUUGUACCAAAGGUAGACAGUACGUUUUGAUCCCAGGGAGACUUUCCGUUGUGGUGUUUCAUCAUGUUUAUUGCCAUUUAAUUAAGGACACUUGGUGGGACUGUGUUUUGCACACCCUUUGAAGACAGGUGUGGUCUCGAGACAUGCCUCCGCUGAGCAGCAGAGCUUCGGGACUCAAUGCUAGAUUCACCACAGGCCCUUUCCUCUACCUCAGGGAGCGGAGAGGGUGUUGAGAUGAAGGCUCCACCAGCCUAGACCCCUGAGUCACCGCAGGGAACAUGUGCCCACCCCAACCCUUGCCAGACUUGCUGCCUGCGUGAGAAAUAAACUUUGUUGUGUGAAA